This is a long non-coding RNA of Hibiscus syriacus, 595 nucleotides long. RefSeq lists it as uncharacterized. NCBI's taxonomy places the organism in Eukaryota, Viridiplantae, Streptophyta, Magnoliopsida, Malvales, Malvaceae. The transcript is spliced from 3 exons. The record is from RefSeq and is a predicted model, not a curated record.
UCCAUUCUCCCACACAUGCUGAAAUCGAGCUCCUUGGUCUAAUUUCACCUGUGCCUCUCACGUCCCCCCUUUCCUGAUACAAAUCCCUAAUUCAGCAGAUGAAAUCCCUAAACCCUCUUUGCCAACCCCCAAUUCCUUCCCGUCAAUUCUUCCUUCUCCCCCUACUACCGUGACAUUACCCCGCCCUUGAAAGGAUCCUUGACCCCAAGGAUCGAAUGCAGGAAACCGAGUCUGGAGAACUGUAAAAUCUUCCCAAGAGUCGUGGGUUUCAUCAAGAUUUGUCCAACGCACAAGCAACUGAGUAACAUGUGGAGUGAGAGUUGGAACAACCCUAUCCCCGAGUUUCUUCUUCAACAAACUGACGUGAAAAACGGGAUGUAUAUGGCAAUCAGCUGGUAAGUCCAAGCGAGACCUCGGGAAAUUCUACCAUUGGAGGAUUCCUCUUUGGCAUACCCGAUCAUCAGUUGCCGGGAAUGAUUGUUCUAGAUAACAAUUGUAAUGAUUUUAGUAUGAACAAGAGAGAAGACGAGAGAAGAGAGAAAAGAGAAAUAGGUUUCAGAAGAAGAAAAUCUGUCAUUCAGCAAUUUCAUUAGUA